RNAcentral lists this ribosomal RNA (441 nucleotides) under uncultured bacterium. Its description in RNAcentral is "partial 16S ribosomal RNA". It matches the Rfam family "Bacterial small subunit ribosomal RNA", at positions 338 to 795 of the family's 1533-position model. The record is from RNAcentral.
CCUACGGUGGGCAGCAGUCGGGAAUAUUGCACAAUGGAGGAAACUCUGAUGCAGUGACGCCGCGUGCAGGAAGAAGGUUUUCGGAUUGUAAACUGCUUUAGACAGGGAAGAAACAAGACAGUACCUGUAGAAUAAGCUCCGGCUAACUACGUGCCAGCAGCCGCGGUAAGACGUAGGGAGCAAGCGUUAUCCGGAUUUAUUGGGUGUAAAGGGUGCGUAGACGGGAAUUUAAGUUAGUUGUGAAAUCCCUCGGCUUAACUGAGGAACUGCAACUAAAACUGAAUUUCAUGAGUGCGGGAGAGGAAAGUGGAAUUCCGAGGGUAGCGGUGAAAUGCGUAGAUAUUAGGAGGAACACCAGUGGCGAAGGCGACUUUCUGGACCGUAACUGACGUUGAGGCACGAAAGUGUGGGGAGCAAACAGGAUUAGAUACCCCGGUAGUC